Molecule: ribosomal RNA, 500 nt
Filed under: uncultured bacterium
Lineage: Bacteria
Description: partial 16S ribosomal RNA
Rfam family: Bacterial small subunit ribosomal RNA
Source: RNAcentral
AUUAAACGCUGGCGGAAUGCUUUACACAUGCAAGUCGAACGGCAGCACGGACCUCGGUCUGGUGGCGAGUGGCGAACGGGUGAGUAAUGUAUCGGAACGUGCCCAGUCGUGGGGGAUAACGUAGUGAAAAUUACGCUAAUACCGCAUACGAUCUAUGGAUGAAAGCGGGGGAUCGCAAGACCUCGCGCGACUGGAGCGGCCGAUAUCAGAUUAGGUAGUUGGUGGGGUAAAGGCCCACCAAGCCAACGAUCUGUAGCUGGUCUGAGAGGACGACCAGCCACACUGGAACUGAGACACGGUACAGACUCCUACGGGAGGCAGCAGUGGGGAAUUUUGGACAAUGGGCGAAAGCCUGAUCCAGCCAUUCCGCGUGCAGGAUGAAGGCCCUCGGGUUGUAAACUGCUUUUGUACAGAACGAAAAGGUUUCUACUAAUACUAGGAGCUCAUGACGGUACUGUAAGAAUAAGCACCGGCUAACUACGUGCCAGCCGCCGCAGUAA